CUGGGAUGCAGGCGCGGCAAUCAUGCCCUGGGAGCUAAUGUAGAGCUUUGGAUAAUGCUUUUGCAAGUUGUACGAGAAGGGAAGUUCUUGGGGUUUCUGACCUCCUGCAGCCUCCUCUUGCCUCGGGCUGCCCAGAUCUUGGCGGCUGAGGCUGGCUUACCUUCAAGCCGUUCCUUCAUGGGAUUUGCUGCUCCCUUCACCAACAAGCGAAAGGCUUACUCGGAGCGUAGAAUCAUGGGGUAAGCAUUCUCUCCCUUGCAUCCUUCCACUUCCUCUUUCCCUCCAAAUAACUAUGUCCAGGCAAGAAUGUCAGGGUAUCAUCGGUGGGCAAGAUUCAUCCCUAGCCAUCCCCCUCCCCAGAUACAAUACUGAUCCUCAAUCCUCCCUUGCCACCCUCCCGACCUUAAUUUCUCCCUUCUUGGUUGCUGUGCAUGUGCUUAAGUGAAAUGAGACUAGGGUUGGACUAUACUUUAAGACAACAGGGCGUAGCCGAUCGUUUUAGGUCAGGAGUUCAAGACCAGCCUGGCCAACAUGGUGAAAUCCUGUCUCCACUAAAAAAAAACACACACACAAAAAUCAGCCUGGCACGGUGGCGGGCGCCUUUAAUCCCAGCUACUUGGGAGGCUGAGGCAGGAGAAUC
This 640-nucleotide small RNA is filed under the name Pongo abelii (Sumatran orangutan). RNAcentral describes it as "retained intron". Lineage: Eukaryota; Metazoa; Chordata; Mammalia; Primates; Hominidae. The record is from RNAcentral.